GCUGGGUGUGGCAGUGCAUAUCUGUAGUCCCAGCUACUCCGGAGGCUGAGGCAGGAGAAUCACUUGAGCCCAGGAGACUGAGGUUGCAGUGAGUAAAGAUCAUGCCACUGCACUCCAGCCUGGGCAACAGGGUGAGACUCUGGCUCAA
Unclassified non-coding RNA from Pongo abelii (Sumatran orangutan), 148 nucleotides. It matches the Rfam family "Metazoan signal recognition particle RNA". From Rfam's summary of the family: The signal recognition particle (SRP) is a universally conserved ribonucleoprotein. It is involved in the co-translational targeting of proteins to membranes. Lineage: Eukaryota; Metazoa; Chordata; Mammalia; Primates; Hominidae. The record is from Ensembl.